This 812-nucleotide small RNA is filed under the name Cryptococcus neoformans H99. Its description in RNAcentral is "Cryptococcus neoformans var. grubii H99 hypothetical RNA". The record is from RNAcentral. Lineage: Eukaryota; Fungi; Basidiomycota; Tremellomycetes; Tremellales; Cryptococcaceae.
GAUGAUCUGGAUUGUCGAGAGGACAUUUUUUUUUUUUUCCUUUGUUAGGUUACCUCUUGAUCUUUUCUACCUUUGGUCGCUUUUUGGCCGUUGGAGUUUUGAUUUUUUUAGGUCAAAAGUGAAACAGCAGGAUUUACAGUCAUGAUAAGAGGAGUGAAAUUUACAAGGAUUGCCCGUCGUGUAUCCAUGGGAACUUGAAAAGUUCGCUAAGACUUACUUGGAUUAUUUCAUCAUGAUCACCCCCGUAGAUCAUCAUAGCUCCUUGUUUUCUGGCGUCAAAGUCGUCUUACAUAUGAAAAAAAAAAGAAACCGAAAAAAAAAAUGACAUCAAAAUGUCGGAAUCGUUUCUGACAAACGAACGAUCGGCGUCCAACUACUGCGACGUCGGGUUAAUUCCGUCGAGAUACGUAGACAGGGUUAGAUGUCAAACAUGCCGUUGACGAAAAAAAGUGGAAAAAAGAGUUUCCACAUUUUACAUUUCGGCAGCUGGCAGACUGAUGGCCGAUGGGUUACAGACAGCUCCAAAACCCCGACGGGGGCAAUCAUAAUCAGUGACUGGAGCUUGUGCACAGACAGGUCGGGCGCUUGGUCUUUUGAUUUUUGGAGGAAACGGUAAGGCGGCGGGGGAUGAAGCCGAUUUGUUUAAAGGAAUUGGCGGGGCGCUACCGUGGACAUAACCCCAUGCGUUGGCGGAUAAGGUAAGUAGCAGUGUCAGCUAAUCGCAGUGUCAGUUAGUUGUUACUGAGCUGGGCUGUUGGUGUGUGGGAAGAGUGUAAUGGUAGUCUCUGCAUGCAUGGCGGGGUUGCGACUAG